This 174-nucleotide ribosomal RNA is filed under the name uncultured soil bacterium. RNAcentral's name for it is "partial 16S ribosomal RNA". It matches the Rfam family "Bacterial small subunit ribosomal RNA", at positions 335 to 524 of the family's 1533-position model. The record is from RNAcentral.
ACUCCUACGGGAGGCAGCAGUGAGGAAUUUUCCACAAUGGGCGAAAGCCUGAUGGAGCAAUACCGCGUGUAGGAAGAAGGCCCGUGGGUCGUAAACUACUUUUCUCAGAGAAGAAUAAAUGACGGUAUCUGAGGAAUAAGCUCCGGCUAACUCUGUGCCAGCAGCCGCGGUAAU